GGCUGCAAAAGAAGUGGGUAGUUUAACCUUCGGGAGGACGCUCACCACUUUGUGGUUCAUGACUGGGGUGAAGUCGUAACAAGGUAGCGCUAGGGGAACCUGGCGCUGGAUCACCUCCUUAUACGAUGAU
This 130-nucleotide ribosomal RNA is filed under the name Vibrio vulnificus. RNAcentral's name for it is "partial 16S ribosomal RNA". It matches the Rfam family "Bacterial small subunit ribosomal RNA", at positions 1413 to 1533 of the family's 1533-position model. The record is from RNAcentral. Lineage: Bacteria; Pseudomonadati; Pseudomonadota; Gammaproteobacteria; Vibrionales; Vibrionaceae.